This 592-nucleotide ribosomal RNA is filed under the name Triticum aestivum (bread wheat). Its description in RNAcentral is "partial small subunit ribosomal RNA". Lineage: Eukaryota; Viridiplantae; Streptophyta; Magnoliopsida; Poales; Poaceae. The record is from RNAcentral.
AUGAGCAGCCGCCGUGUUGGCCUCCUCCUCCUCUCCCUUCUGGCCACCACCCUCUCGUACAGCGCGGAUCCGCCGCCGGUGCACGACACCGACGGCAACGAGCUGCGCGCCGACGCGAACUACUACAUCCUCCCGGCGAACCGCGCCCACGGCGGGGGGCUCACGAUGGCGCCCGGCCACGGGCGCCGCUGCCCGCUCUUCGUCUCGCAGGAGGCCGACGGGCAGCGCGAUGGCUUACCCGUGCGCAUCGCCCCGCACGGCGGCGGCGCGCCGUCCGACAAGAUCAUCCGGCUGUCGACCGACGUCCGCAUCUCCUUCCGCGCCUACACGACGUGCGUGCAGUCGACCGAGUGGCACAUCGACAGCGAGCUGGUGUCGGGCCGCCGGCACGUGAUCACCGGCCCGGUCAGGGACCCGAGCCCGAGCGGCAGGGAGAACGCCUUCCGCAUCGAGAAGUACAGCGGCGCGGAGGUGCACGAGUACAAGCUCAUGGCGUGCGGGGACUCGUGCCAGGACCUCGGCGUGUUCAGGGACCUCAAGGGCGGCGCGUGGUUCCUGGGCGCCACCGAGCCGUACCAUGUCAUCGUGUUCA